UUCUAAUUGAUUCACAUUUCUAGCUAAUGUUAUUUCUGAAUGAAAUAAAUAAAGCGGAUAGCAUGAUAUCCAUCUCUCAAAAAAAAAAAAAAAUGUAAAUAUCAUUCCUGUCGUUUCACACUUUUUUAUUUUUGUACCCUAUGGUUUAAAGCAUAUCAAUUUAGUACCCGUGAUUUUAUUUUUCUUUUUUUUAUUAUUCCCUCCGCUAAUUUUUUUUUGUUAAAUCAGUGAUAAAGUUAAAUUUAAAAGAUAUUAAAAUAAAUAUUUGAUAAAUCUAGGUGGAGUUUCUGAAGUUUUUUAUAUAUUAUUUAACGAAAUAUUAACGGAGGAGCUGACGAAAAAAGAAAUAUGGUACUAAAUUGAUACACUUUAAAUCAUAGAAUAUUAAAGUGAAAAAGUGCGAAAAUAUAGGGGUAGUAUUUGAAAUUUAUCUAAAAAAAUAUUCGGAGUUGAUCUCAUGCAUCGCAUUGAGAAUUUUGUUGUGAAUUAUUGAUUUAAAAAUAAGCUUGGAAAAGGUAUAUUUUAUGUGUUGGUUGUUCGAUUUUGCUCUUGGGGCUUGUUGUGGUGAGUUUUUUUU
This 577-nucleotide long non-coding RNA is filed under the name Ananas comosus (pineapple). Its description in RNAcentral is "long non-coding RNA (ACOM_LNC040742)". Lineage: Eukaryota; Viridiplantae; Streptophyta; Magnoliopsida; Poales; Bromeliaceae. The record is from RNAcentral.